UACGUAGGGACCAAGCGUUGUUCGGAUCUACUGGGCGUAAAGGGCGCGUAGGCGGCGCGGUAAGUCACUUGUGAAAUCUCUGAGCUUAACUCAGAACGGCCAAGUGAUACUGCAGUGCUAGAGUGUGGAAGGGGCAAUCGGAAUUCUUGGUGUAGCGGUGAAAUGCGCAGAUAUCAGGAGGAACACCGGUGGCGAAGGCGGGUCUCUGGGCCGUAACUGACGCUGAGGAGCGAAAGCAUGGGGAGCGAACAGG
This 253-nucleotide ribosomal RNA is filed under the name uncultured bacterium. RNAcentral's name for it is "partial 16S ribosomal RNA". It matches the Rfam family "Bacterial small subunit ribosomal RNA", at positions 524 to 776 of the family's 1533-position model. The record is from RNAcentral.